Molecule: transfer RNA, 84 nt
Filed under: Escherichia coli
Lineage: Bacteria; Pseudomonadati; Pseudomonadota; Gammaproteobacteria; Enterobacterales; Enterobacteriaceae
Also listed under: 2 other names
Description: tRNA-Tyr
Rfam family: tRNA
About the family: Transfer RNA (tRNA) molecules are approximately 80 nucleotides in length.
Source: RNAcentral
GUGAGAUUGGCAGAGUGGUCGAUUGCGGGGGACUGUAAAUCCCUUCUGAAAGGCGCGGUGGUUCGAAUCCAUCAUCUCACACCA